This 394-nucleotide ribosomal RNA is filed under the name Paenibacillus xylanexedens. Its description in RNAcentral is "partial 23S ribosomal RNA". It matches the Rfam family "Bacterial large subunit ribosomal RNA", at positions 1 to 386 of the family's 2925-position model. The record is from RNAcentral. Lineage: Bacteria; Bacillati; Bacillota; Bacilli; Caryophanales; Paenibacillaceae.
GGUUAAGCUACUAAGAGCACACGGAGGAUGCCUAGGCGCUAGGAGCCGAUGAAGGACGUGGCGAACAACGAAACUGCCUCGGGGAGCUGUAAGCAAGCUUUGAUCCGGGGGUGUCCGAAUGGGGAAACCCAGCUGGGGUAAUUUCCAGUUACUCAUAACUGAAUACAUAGGUUAUGCAGAGGCAUACCAGGGGAACUGAAACAUCUAAGUACCCUGAGGAAGAGAAAACAAUAGUGAUUCCGUCAGUAGCGGCGAGCGAACGCGGAGAAGCCCAAACCAGAGAGCUUGCUCUUUGGGGUUGUGGGACGUCUCACAUGGAGUUACAAAGGAACCGGUUAAGCGAAGAGGUCUGGAAAGGCCCGCCAAAGAAGGUAAAAGCCCUGUAGUUGAAAGU